RNAcentral lists this ribosomal RNA (459 nucleotides) under uncultured bacterium. RNAcentral describes it as "partial 16S ribosomal RNA". It matches the Rfam family "Bacterial small subunit ribosomal RNA", at positions 338 to 795 of the family's 1533-position model. The record is from RNAcentral.
CCUACGGGAGGCAGCAGUGAGGAAUAUUGGUCAAUGGGCGCGAGCCUGAACCAGCCAAGUCGCGUGAGGGAAGACGGUCCUAUGGAUUGUAAACCUCUUUUGUCGGGGAGCAAAAGACGCCACGCGUGGCGUUCCGAGAGUACCCGACGAACAAGCAUCGGCUAACUCCGUGCCAGCAGCCGCGGUAAUACGGAGGAUGCGAGCGUUAUCCGGAUUUAUUGGGUUUAAAGGGUGCGCAGGCGGAAGAUCAAGUCAGCGGUAAAAGUGAGAGGUUCAACCUCUUCGAGCCGUUGAAACUGGUUUUCUUGAGUGAGUGAGAAGUAUGCGGAAUGCGUGGUGUAGCGGUGAAAUGCAUAGAUAUCACGCAGAACUCCGAUUGCGAAGGCAGCAUACCGGCGCUCAACUGACGCUCAUGCACGAAAGUGUGGGUAUCGAACAGGAUUAGAUACCCGGGUAGUC